Molecule: long non-coding RNA, 8478 nt
Organism: Mirounga angustirostris (Northern elephant seal)
Lineage: Eukaryota; Metazoa; Chordata; Mammalia; Carnivora; Phocidae
Exons: 7
Source: RefSeq, a predicted model, not a curated record
UAGUCUCAUCAAUUCAGCUCCAAUUUUGGGUUCGAAUACAGACGCGGGUCUGAACGUGACCAGACCUGGAGUGGCGGGUGCAGCCUGCCAGCAAUUGAGACUCGGUGUGCUUAUGGGGGAGUGGGGUGGGGGUGGGGUGGGGGUGGGAUGGGGGCCGGGCCGACCCCCCCCACCUCCUGUCUGCUUCUCAAUCCAGGGGUCUGCUCCGGGGCUCCCCUGGGACCGCCACAUCUGGUUACCGCUAGCGGGGUCAGUCCCCCCCCCCCUUUGCCUGGGGCCACCAGUUCUGGAGUUCAAUUAAAAGAAAUCAGGCUUAACCCUUUCCUUCCCUCGGCCGGCCGCCUGCCCUCUCCCUCUUCCCUUCAGCUUUUCCACAUGCUUUCCAGAGAGGAAAGAGGUUAAAGGGAAAGGAAGAAUGAAUUACAUCCUUUCAAACCCCAAAUUGUUUCCUUUUCAGCCCAGACUCUGCCGGCCUUCAAACGACAACAGGGCUUUCAGGAGGGUGCGGGGAGACCGCUUCCCACCCAGACCUGGCCAGAAACCCUGCACCCCCAGCCACACUGCCCCUCUUUCAGGCAGAAGGGAUUUCAACUCCACCACCGGGAGGCCCCCUUCCUGGUCCUGGGCAAGCACUGAGGUUGUUAAUGGCCACCCCACACCAGCCGGACGCUCCCCCUUCCUUCCACACUCCUCCUAGUGCUGGAGAAGGCACCUCCAUGGCAGAAAUACUGGCUAGGUUUCUCUUCCCUACUCCUAGGAGGCCUGGCCAAGAGCAUAUUCUUACCUUCACUGCACUGAUCAGGACAUUCACCCUCACACCCCUAGCACCCCCAACUCCUUUCAGCAGGAGCUUCCUCUCCCAUUGAGAGUUGCUCAGUGGGAAACUACAUUACAAUGAGGACUUGCCCUCCUGUUUUAGCUGUGGAACUCAAUAGCACUUUCUGUUUCUCCCAGGAAAACCAAAGCUAUGGCUAUUUCAUAAUUUUGAAGAUGGGGGGGAGAGGGUGACAUUGGCAUAACUGUCACCCCUUUGUGACUCAUUGACUAGCACUGACGCCAUGCCUUUUGCUAUUUACCAGCCCCUCCGUGAGGAGCUCCUGUCCAUUCACGAGGUCCUCCACCUAGAAAGAACCCCCCCCCAACCGGGAACAACAGCUCUCUGAGGGAUUUGAGGCUCCCUUCACCCCAUAUUGACAUGCUGGUGGGCAAGUUUGCCCCACUUACGUAACUCUGGGUUUGAAGCUCAACUCCUCCUGCUGCUUCUAUUUUAAAUCCCGAAGGGGGAAAAAGCCCUAACCAAACACAACAGUCAACAAGUCUGCCCUGUUUCAUGUGGUUACCACCAGACAUCUGGAAAGAUGGUUUGAUCCUGGCAGCUCACAUUGUUUUCACGAGCAGCCAAAGAGAAUAUUUUGAAUGUUUGCAUUGAGACAAAUUGAUAGAGAGCCUGUGGUAAGGCCCGCUACGAAUGAAAACUGUCUUUGCGUUGGGGAGGUGCAACCCCUCCCCUUCUCCCCACUCUCCCUCCCCUUUCUCUCUCCCUCUCCCUUCUUUUAGCUUAGCUGGGGACUGGUUACCCCAGCCCACACGCUUGCACACACCCUCUUUCCUGGCUCACCAGACUGUCCUGCCUGCCUUUCCCAGACUGGGCAAGGCUGGUGCCCAGGAGCUGGUGCCUGCGACCAUCAGCGCCCAUUCCACCAGCGCCGACUGGCUUUCAAGUCGGGGAGCUCUCGCAGCCAAGGAAGCCCGGCCAGCUUUUAAAACAAAAGCUACCAAUUGGGGGACCCACAAAACAACUCAUGACACAUUUCUAAGCCUAGGGUCACGUACAGAAAGCAUGCACAUGGAGGGCGAAUAUUUAGGAAAUAUUUGGAUUUCGAGCAUUUUCGCUGGAACUUUGGUCGGACGGCUUGCCUCGCACCGUCCGCACUUGACAGUAUUUUCAAAGAUGCGGAAGUCCUGCUUCCCCCCGGGAGGGGUGCGGCGGGGUGAAACGUGUCUUGGCUCGCUCAAAGUCAGCCCCUUUGACCCGGUCAAGACUUUCCAGACGCGACUUCCUGGGCUUCUUUGGUCCCAGCCCAGGUUGGGGGUGGGAGGACGCGACAAUCGGAGCCGGGUCCCCGGGGUGCCUCCAGCCCCGGGGACUGCUCCGUCACUUGAAACCCCGAAAGAUGCCAGGCCUGGCAGAGCGUCUCGGGCGGAUCCUUUCCCCUCCGUCCUCCCUCCUCUCCCGCCCCUCGGGUCCAGCGCGGCCUCGGCUGGUAUUCGAGCUGGCAACGGGGGGAUGGGGGGGGGCGAAGGGGGGGGAGGCGGGAGCGCGGGGGAGGGACGGGCGAGCGAGCGCCAAAACUCCAGACUGCACAACUGCAGCUUCAAGUGUCUGGCCCCUCGCUCGAGGCCAUAAUUAAUUUGAGAUUUAUUUUUAUUGGAGAACUCGAGUCUCGUCUGACCUUAGCCAAACAAGGCAGCUCGAGCCGCCCCUGGAUGCGCUUGAAUGCCGGGGAAUAUUUCUGCAGGAAGGCUCUGCAGGCGCGCCUGCUUUGAAUUUGUUUCUCAGACUUCAUCUACUCAGAGAUUGAAGGAAGAUUUAGAGCCUCUGCUCGCCCUGCCCGCUCCCCACGCUCGUUCUUGCCUUAGCGCCAAGCGGGUUCAAAACGCUACGUGGGAGGCCGCGGCGGCGGGAGGGCCGGGGGUCGGCUGGCCCGGCUGGGGGAGGGUCUCUGCGCCCCGAGCCCCAGGCGCUCGGGGCCGGGUCCCCAGACCACGCGGCGUCGACGAGGAAAUCCCGAGGGAGUCCGAGAGCGCAGAGAGCGCAGGCUGACAAGAGGUAGAGACCAGCCAGGUGCCGGGACUCUCACCCAGCGGCGGCGCCUAGACCGGGGCCUGGGGCGGGGACCGGAGCAUUUCAGCCUCUCGGAUCUCCGUCAGCCCCAAACGGCAUUUAUUCUAAGUACAGACCUGCGUCCUUGAAACGCCGCUGCAGGACCUGCCGGCCAGAUGCUGCUCCUGAGCCGUGUCGCUGUGAACAUUCUGGGGCUAUAAGCCUCCUUUGGUCUGGUUUGGGGGGGGGGGUGUCUCCUCCAGAAUGCAGCAUGGGCUGAAUCAGCAGGCUACGUGGUGAGGCAGCGGGAGCAAGGAGUCUGGGAGACUCGCAAAGAGGGAAAGUCGAGGACCCAGCCAGUCUUCGUGGGGUGGGCGAGGGGCUUUCCGGGUUGUGCUCCCCGCGCUGGGAUUGACAAGGGAUUUGCACAGUGCGGGGGCAGGAUGAAUCCCCAUAUCUGCAAGUGGAAUAUCCAGGUCGAAAGUCUCACUGAGGGACCUAGGGUUUGAAUUCCCGCUCUGCAUGGACCAGCUCUGUGGCCUCGAACAAGUUCCUUAACCUCUCUGUGCCUCAAUCUGUACAUUGGUGUUGUAAUAGGACCUAACCCUCAAAGGGCUGUCGUAAACCUGAAAUGAGUGUCUGGAACUUGCCUGACAGCACAAUUUUGCCCUUAUUAUUUGUAUUUUGGCCCCAUCCCUUACAAGCUGUGUUACCUUAACCUCUCAAUACCUCAGUUUCUCAUCUGCAAAAUAGCUUACCUCCUAGGGUUGUUAUUAAUAUUGAGUUAGUACAAAUGCAAUAUUUAGAACAGGGCCUGGCAAAGGUAAGGGCUACCUUAACGUUACCACCAUUAUUCACCUACUGCGAUGUCAUUGUCCUAAAGAGUCACCCCGUUCCCUCUCUCCCUUUCCCUUGCUCUUUCCAGCCUCAGACCCGCCCUCACCGCUCCCCUGCGGAAACUCCCAGAGCACUCUGUGGGUUCUCAGAACCCAGAUCGCUGCCGGGUGGAGUGGGCACCCUUUGCUGCUGCGGCCCGGCUGGGCUCCAGGCUCCGGGCCUGGGCGCCUGGGCCCGCGCGGUGUUUGUCAACAACCUCGGAGGUUCCUGACGCAGAAUGGCAGGGGCUUGGCAGCAGGGAACUGUUUGUGCCCCUCUGGCAAAUGGUCGAUGUAGGGAGCCGGAGGAACAGACCCAAGAUUGUCCCUGCUACGCAGACCUUUCGCCGCCAUCAAUGCACCCCUUUGUGCAACAAUACAAACUUUGUGGCUGCUGAAAAAUCCAUUUUUUGCCCCUUGAAAAGAGCUCCUGCGGCGAGCGGCUCCUUUGGCUGACCACAGCUCCUAGACUGCCGCCUCUCUCCCUGCUGCCCACUCCGGACCUCUCUGCUCUCCUGGGCCGGUUUGCUUUCUCUCUGACUCUCGGCCUGGAUUAAACACCUCUUACCCGCGCCAAGGCUCCAGGACCUGUCCUCCCCAAAAGAAAUGAGACGAGGGCCGAACGCAAAAGUGGCGCUUCCUGAGAGUCGCACCCCAUCGCGGUGGCCACGUGCCGGCAGACGGUCCCACACUUCGGUGGCAUUCGCGGACGCAGGAGGGAGCUCGGCGCGGGCACGCAGCCCCGUAACCCUCCCCUACCCACAAUCGGAGACACGCAUUUCCCCCGGGCCUGGGUGGCUUCACACCUGCGGACACCGGGGCCGGGGGCCCGUCCGAGCCAGAAGAGAGAACGCUGCCGGGAUAGAGGACUCGCAGAUGGCAGGAGGUGGAGCCCAGAACCCAGGGUGGCCCCAGAUGUCUGUCCGGGAGAGCCACCUAGGUCCAGGCUCUGCUUGAGCAGGAAUUCAGGCUUCUGAUUUCUGAUAUCACCUCACGUCUGUCUGGCUGGCUGUUGUGAGAAAAGAAAGGCAGCACGCAAUGGCGAGGAUGUGGAGAAAUUGGAACCUUUGCACAUUGUUGGUGGAAAUGCAAAAUGGCGCAGCUGCGGACGACAGCAUGGAGGGUACAGAGGGGGACAGUGGCUGAAAUGUCUGUCCCCCGCUGCUAGCGGGACUUUGAGGAGGUUCCAGGUCUUUUGAAGUAAGUCCAGAGGUCUUUCAACAACCAGAUCCUCAGCUCUUGCUGAGUAGCACCGGGCUGAAGAUCAAAUCCACUCAGCUUCGUUGGCCGUCUCCCCACCCUGUCUGCAGGACUUCCCAGGGGAGGGUGAUAAGAUCACAUUUUGCUCUGUCUCCCCCCCCCCCCCAACUCACUCUCUAAAGGUCAUCUUUAUCCAAAAGGUCUUCACUUCCGGCCUGACGAUCAGGGCCAAUCUGGUAGCAUCGGAGGUAUACUGGGAAAGCCUCGCCAGACACCCCCACCCCCAACCCCGGCCUCCCCCUAUUCUGGUCUUGGCCUUCCUGGCUCUACGUCCACCAUCCUCUCCUGCAGCUCUGGUCCAGAGAAUUCUUCUGCUGUGGAAAAUGCAAACACCUCCAUAAGGGAUGGCUAAUUUAGUCUCGAAUGUCUGUGAUCUAGCUGACAGCUCCUUUUUUUUGAAAAGAAACAAGGAGUGGGAGCAGAAGCAGGAGGGUCAGCAAAAAAAAAAGAAGAGAUGAGGUGUUGCCUUGUGGGGUUCCCUGCCCCCAGUCCUGCGUGGAGGGUUCUGACACCGCCCUUGAAAAAAUGAAGUGUGUUCAGAUACAGGUGUUGCUGCUUGUUUCAAAACACGGGUCCCACCCUCCACGUCUACCCAAGAAAGCAGAUCUCCACAGAGUAAGGUGGAGCCCUGAAAUGAGUAUGAAUUAUCUGCCUUCCACACACCCUGAUGGCAUCUGUGCUGGAACAUUCGGGCCAUUUCAACCACGUGGUGUGGCUGAUCCCCGCCGCACCUCGGGAUGAUGUUGACAGGAUCAGCUUCGACUCCAGAAAACACCUAGGCCUGUUCUCAGAAGGAAAAAUGGAGUUUCCUUAAAAAGAACUUUAAAGAGGAAAGAAAAAAUCUCAGCCUUUAAUUUAUUAAAAAAAAAGCAAGCGGAGUCCAUCUACUUUUUUGAAAUAAACCAAGAUACAGUUAAUAGUUUACAGACGUUGGCUGGGGCUUUUCCUCUUUCAUGUGUUUAUGAAAUGUUUUCUGCUCUUCACCUUUAAGAGCUUUCACACCUCCCUCUGAAUUUGUCAUUACUUUGAAUGCCGAGCCGAAGGAUCUCUCAUCAAAUGCAAUCCCUAGGACUUGCAUCCUGGAGGAUCCGAGGGCAGCAAACCCCACUCCAUGGGCAACGCCACUUCGAAAAGCGCACCCCUCUGCGGGCCAUGGAGGUGUGGCCAUGCGUGAGGCAGCUGAGCAAUGUCCAGGGUCACUGGGCAACCCCAAACACACACAGCCUGGCUAGAAGUGGCCUGGUGUAUUUUUUUCCCCAGGCAGGAGGCAGCUGGAUUCUAACUUACUACAAACAGGUCUCUUUCAGUGACUUGGAGCCCAGAUGAGGCAUUACAAUGUCAAGCACACUCUUUCCUCAUCACUGUCCCUAUUUCUUCCUUGAGUGUUCAGCCAGGGUGGUCCUGAUAAGAGCUCUGUUGCCAACAGAGAGCUCUCUACUUACAGCCUGCAUGUAAGUGGUGGUGGCUCCUGGGCUCCCUGGGGGGUGCAGGAGGAAGUGAGUAGGUUCCAGAAUGUUCUGGGGCAGCCUCCCCUUCAUUCUUCUCUCUCUUUCCCCCACCUUUCCUUUUCACUGUUCCCUUGUGGGUGGCUUUCCCUGUUAAUCUCCUUCCCCUGGAGGUGAUAAAGCCCCCCACCCCCACUCCUCAUAGCAUCUUCCAUCAGGAUGAAGGAGGACAGGCAGACUCCUUCUGGUGGUCAUUCUCUGCAGGACACUAGCAAAGACUGUUACUCAAAUAGCAAGAAGAGUGGAAAUUUCUUUGAUUUCUGGGAUGGGCCCGGUGCUGAGUGGGCUGGCCUUGAGGACGUGGCCAGGUUCGCAGCCUCCACUGGGUCCCAGGGCAUCUCCAGAUCCCAGAGGGUCUCCCUGUGGCCCACCAGCAGCACUAACAGCACCAGUUGGGCUGGAGAGGUGGACUGCAGAGGGGGGUGGGGAGGGGGGCUGGCAAACCCGAGUGCCUUGUUCCUGGCUUUUUUCUGUGGCAUCUGCUGGAGUACAGCCUUGGCAACCAACCCUGUCCGCCUGACAACAAUUCAUGGCAUCUAAUUGCUCUUUCCUUUUCAUUUUAUUUAGUAACUGGGUUCAGCCCAGGAAACUCUGGCUUCCAAUCCUUGAGUGUUUUGACUCAGGGACCGUAAACUGUCUGAUUUCUUGGACAAACACAAUCUUGAGGAAUUUUUCUCUUUAUACAAUGGCAGGGAUCUGUGAAUGUCAGCCUUCUCCACUCAGGCCUUGGCAGGUUUUUUUUCCCCUUCCUACAGACGUCAAUCUCCUUAAAAUAAAUAUUCCCUUUGGUUUUGGGGGCCCUUUCCUUUGGAUUACUCACCUUUAUCUCUGGGAUUACAAAGCAGCUGGGAAGCAGAGAUAGAGUUCACAGUGACUUUCACACAGAGCAGGAGAAAAAGAGCAUGCUGGGCGAUCCAACUCAUAUUUUAGAUUUUAACAACUCUGGAAUUCACCUUUGGCUUUGGAGAUUCUACUCCUUUGCCCUGGGGGGCCAUCUACCUGUAUGCUUUCCUACGUGGUGUGGCUGCACACCGUCUCCCUGGUCCAGCUUCCCCUCAGCUGUGACAUCCACCACCACCCCCCACCCCGCCCCGCCGACACACACACAACCACCUGAGUCAUCUUUCUGAAGCAAAUCCGGUCACGUCUCCCCCACCCGCCAACGGAGGACUCCGAUAAAGUCCCACUACUCAGUCAGGCAAACUGAGUCCUUCACUGUCUGGCCUUGCCUGCCUCUUUGGUCUCAUUUCUCAUUACUUCCCCUGGGUACUCCAUGGGGCAGGCCACCAGGAGGGGAGGCCUUUCACCUUGGUUCUUUGGCAUGUGUGAUCCCUUCUGCCUGGAAUGCCUUUCUGCUCCUUGUUGGAUUCUUUCUUGUCCAUUCUGACCGUGUGAGGCCAUCCUAUACGAAGAGAAUCUCCCCUCACUCACCCGGCCCCCUUCGGCCAUCCAAAGAGCUGCGAGCUUACGAUUACCCUCAUUAUUCCUUCCACUCAAAUACACUGCUAACCACUCUUAAGUCUUCUUUUCCUUUUUGUCCUUCUCCCUUGUCUUCCCUCCCCUCUUCAUCUCUUUCUCCUCUUUUUAAAGAUCGGAUAAUAUCUUUGAAAUCUCUGCUGGGCCUUGUAUGGUACCUGGCGUUCUACCCAAACCAAAAGGGUCGCAUGCGAAUUUUGGUCUUAUCAAAUAUCUGCGAUGCCUGGACGCCAACUGGGCACCUUAUGUCAGCUCCCUCACUUAAAUAGCACACCACCCUGUGACGUACAUGUGAUUUUCUCAUUUUCACGUCACAUAGACCGAGGCUCCGUGAGUUCAAAUUGCUUUUGGGGGGCGCCUGUAUGGCUCAGUCUGUUAAGUGUCUGCCUUCGGCUCAGGUCAUGAUCCCAGGGUCCUGGGAUCGAGCCCUACAUUGGGCUCCUUGCUCAGUGGGGAGCCUGCUUCUCCCUCUCCCUCUGCCCUCCCCCUGCUUGUGUGCUCUCUCUCUAUCAAAUAAAUAAAAAAAAAAAUGUUUUUG